This 393-nucleotide unclassified non-coding RNA is filed under the name Hevea brasiliensis (rubber tree). Lineage: Eukaryota; Viridiplantae; Streptophyta; Magnoliopsida; Malpighiales; Euphorbiaceae. The record is from RNAcentral.
GGGGAGGGGGUUUGGGGGUUGUGGAGGGAAAGAGGGGAGAGGGGCAACUCUCGCCUUCGUCUCCCCCUUUCCUCUGCCCCUGAUCUAUCCUAUCCAUUUACUAGUAUCAAAGGAAGAUAUUAGGAAAUUAUGCACAUAAGAUGAGUAACAAGGUAUGAUAAAACCAUAGAACAGAAUUAUGUAGAAACUACCAACAAUACCUAUAAAUCAAUCCACUAAGAGACAGAAAACAACAAUAAGAUGCAAGAAGUUCUACAAAAAAACCUGGAGUUUCCUUGAGAGUGCAUUAAUAAGAGGGGGAAAAUAUUUGAAGGAAAUAAUGAAUUCAUGCUAACAAACAUUGAAGUUGAGAACAUGCAGCAUCUCUUACCUGUGAGCAAUAGGUGGAGACAG